CGAAGAACCUUACCUACUCUUGACAUCCAGAGAACUGAGCAGAGAUGCUUAGGUGCCUUCGGGAACUCUGAGACAGGUGCUGCAUGGCUGUCGUCAGCUCGUGUUGUGAAAUGUUGGGUUAAGUCCCGCAACGAGCGCAACCCUUAUCCUUUGUUGCCAGCGGUUCGGUCGGGAACUCAAAGGAGACUGCCAGUGAUAAACUGGAGGAAGGUGGGGAUGACGUCAAGUCAUCAUGGCCCUUACGAGUAGGGCUACACACGUGCUACAAUGGCGUAUACAAAGAGAAGCGACCUCGCGAGAGCAAGCGGAACUCAUAAAGUACGUCGUAGUCCGGAUUGGAGUCUGCAACUCGACUCCAUGAAGUCGGAAUCGCUAGUAAUCGUAGAUCAGAAUGCUACGGUGAAUACGUUCCCGGGCCUUGUACACACCG
This 430-nucleotide ribosomal RNA is filed under the name uncultured Providencia sp. Its description in RNAcentral is "bacterial SSU rRNA". It matches the Rfam family "Bacterial small subunit ribosomal RNA", at positions 962 to 1392 of the family's 1533-position model. Lineage: Bacteria; Pseudomonadati; Pseudomonadota; Gammaproteobacteria; Enterobacterales; Morganellaceae. The record is from RNAcentral.